This is a long non-coding RNA of Zea mays, 481 nucleotides long. RefSeq lists it as uncharacterized. The record is from RefSeq and is a predicted model, not a curated record. Lineage: Eukaryota; Viridiplantae; Streptophyta; Magnoliopsida; Poales; Poaceae. The transcript is spliced from 4 exons.
GAGCUUCACAGUGCUCGAUUUUCAUUUGAGCAAGCCCGUUUCAACCUGGUCACUUCACUUUCCCAUGUCGAGGCAAAGAAGAGAUAUGAAUUUUUGGAGGCUGUUAGUGCGACGAUGGACUCAGAUCUUCGAUAUUUUAAACAAGGAUAUGAACUAUUGCAUCAAAUGGAACCAUAUAUUAAUCAGUAGUUGGGAGAGGUGAUCUUUGCAUGAGUCCAGUAGAAUUUGAACCUUCUGUAAGUGAUGAUUUAGUACUGGAGAAGAAAUCUGGAAAUGGGCAGCAUGAUGUCAGAGGCACACAUCAUCACAGAACCAGCAUGAAACCUGAAAAACCAAUUGACUUGCUUAGGAAAGUUGAUGGCAAUAAUAUGUGUGCUGACUGUGGUGCUUCAGAACCUGAUUGGGCAUCAUUAAACCUUGGCGCACUUCUAUGCAUAGAGUGUUCUGGGGUGCACAGAAAUCUUGGAGUGCAUAUAUCAAA